RNAcentral lists this long non-coding RNA (274 nucleotides) under Ananas comosus (pineapple). RNAcentral's name for it is "long non-coding RNA (ACOM_LNC030917)". Lineage: Eukaryota; Viridiplantae; Streptophyta; Magnoliopsida; Poales; Bromeliaceae. The record is from RNAcentral.
UUAUAUUUAAGGGGGCAAAAAUAGAGAUUUUGAAAAGGCAGAAAUAACUAAUAAUUAAUAGAUAAUUUUUAGGUUGCGUUUCGUAUGUAAGUAUUUGUUUGAAUAUUAUGCGUCGAAAAAUCAUACGAGAUAAAGUGUUACAGCAAAGACUUUCUCCAGCCGAUUAAACAGAGCUCCGCGCUCUUAACUCUUCGCGCACUCCGAGACGAAUCAAUAAAGUGCCACAUUUUCAUCUACAUGCAUCACCAACGCUUUCAACGUAUUGCUUCAAGAU